GAUGAACGCUGGCGGCGUGCCUAAUACAUGCCAGUCGAGCGAACAGACCUCGAGCUUGCUCCUCUGACGUUACCGGCGGACGGGUGAGUAACACGUGGCUAACCUUCCUAUAUGGCUGGGAUAACUUCGGGAAACCGGAAUUACUACCGGCUAAUAUAUUGACCCGCAUGGUUCAAUAGUGUAACACGGUUUUGCUUUCACUUAUAGAUGGAUCCGCGCGUCAUUGACUGGUUGGUUAGGUAACGGCUUACCAAGGCAACGAUGGGUAGCCGACCUCGGAGGGGGUACGGCAACAGUGACGCUGAGAGGCGGCACAGAGACCGACGGGAGGCAGAAGUAGGGAAUGUACGGAAAUGGGCGAAAGCCUGACGAAGGAAGGGAGGGCGAGUGAGGAAGGGCCUCGGACCGUAAAACUGUGUUAGGGGUGAAGAACAAAUGCGUAAAUGACUAAGCACGUCUUGACGGUAGCUGAUCAGAAAGCAACGGCUAACUACGUG
RNAcentral lists this ribosomal RNA (497 nucleotides) under uncultured bacterium. RNAcentral describes it as "partial 16S ribosomal RNA". It matches the Rfam family "Bacterial small subunit ribosomal RNA", at positions 28 to 507 of the family's 1533-position model. The record is from RNAcentral.